This 427-nucleotide ribosomal RNA is filed under the name uncultured Paracoccaceae bacterium. RNAcentral's name for it is "bacterial SSU rRNA". It matches the Rfam family "Bacterial small subunit ribosomal RNA", at positions 35 to 510 of the family's 1533-position model. Lineage: Bacteria; Pseudomonadati; Pseudomonadota; Alphaproteobacteria; Rhodobacterales; Paracoccaceae. The record is from RNAcentral.
GCUGGCGGCAGGCCUAACACAUGCAAGUCGAGCGCGCCUUCGGGUGAGCGGCGGACGGGUUAGUAACGCGUGGGAACGUGCCCUUCUCUACGGAAUAGCCUCUGGAAACGGAGAGUAAUACCGUAUACGCCCUUUGGGGGAAAGAUUUAUCGGAGAAGGAUCGGCCCGCGUUAGAUUAGGUAGUUGGUGGGGUAACGGCCUACCAAGCCUACGAUCUAUAGCUGGUUUUAGAGGAUGAUCAGCAACACUGGGACUGAGACACGGCCCAGACUCCUACGGGAGGCAGCAGUGGGGAAUCUUAGACAAUGGGGGCAACCCUGAUCUAGCCAUGCCGCGUGAGUGAUGAAGGCCUUAAGGUCGUAAAGCUCUUUCGCCUGUGAUGAUAAUGACAGUAGCAGGUAAAGAAACCCCGGCUAACUCCGUGCCA